RNAcentral lists this ribosomal RNA (497 nucleotides) under uncultured bacterium. RNAcentral describes it as "partial 16S ribosomal RNA". It matches the Rfam family "Bacterial small subunit ribosomal RNA", at positions 28 to 507 of the family's 1533-position model. The record is from RNAcentral.
GAUGAACGCUGGCGGCGUGCCUAAUACAUGCAAGUCGAGCGAACGGACGAGAAGCUUGCUGCUCUGAUGUUAGCGGCGGACGGGUGAGUAACACGUGGAUAACCUACCUAUAAGACUGGGAUAACUUCGGGAAACCGUAGCUAAUACCGGAUAAUAUUUUGAACCGCAUGGUUCAAAAGUGAAAGACGGUCUUGCUGUCACUUCUAGAUGGAUCCGCGCUGCAUUAGCUAGUUGGUAAGGUAACGGCUUACCAAGGCAACGAUGCAUAGCCGACCUGAGAGGGUGAACGGCCCCACUGGAACUGAGACACGGUCCAGACUCCUACGGGAGGCAGAAGUAGGGAAGCUUCGCCAAUGGGCGAAAGCCUGACGGAGCAACGCCGCGUGGGUGAUGAAGGUCUUCGGAUCGUAAAACUCUGUUAUUAGGGAAAAACAUAUGUGUAAGUAACUGUGCACAUCUUGACGGUACCUAAUCAGAAAGCCACGGCUAACUACGUG